GAAACCGGCUUCCCAAGGGAACUGCCUGUGUGACUGAGAGGCUAGUAAUCUGUUUGUAGAUGAUUUAUAUUUUGGCUGCAGAAUGAAUCCCCCUCCCUGCCCGGAGUACUCUCCUUAGAGAAGAUCCCCCGCCCCCUCCCCAUGGGUUCGCUCUCAGAGCUCGGAUCUGUAUAAAGAGCGCUGUGGGAGUCUUUUGCCCUCCGCUCUAGCUCUAUCUUCCUCCGGACCCCGAAGCUUAAGAAUUAUCCGCCUCACUCUCUUUUUUAGAAAUAGGAGGGAAAGGUAGAGUGGAAAUUGAUUUCUUGCAGAGACUGAGGCGCUGAAUGAUAGAGGGAAUAAACAUUUGCCCUGGAUAAAAAUGUUCUUGGCUGUUGUCCAGCUCUAAUGAUGUCCUAGAGAAGAAGUGUUUCUUCUGUUGUCUCAUUUUACUAAGAGGAUGAUGUCUGUGUAUGUCUCUGUGUUUUAGAGAGGCUGACAGAUGCUGCUAAGAGGAUCUGAGGUUCACAUAAAGAGGAUGAAAAUUCUGAAUUACUUUCAUUGCAAAUAAACCUUAACAACUGUGAGAGUUAGAGAGCAUACUUUUCACAGAAGACUUUGAUUUGCUGCCUGAAGCUACUUACAUAAUUUGCUAUUCAGAGAAAUGCAUUUGUUUAUUGAGGACCCACUCGGACUUAAAUUAGAAAAAUGUAACAUUCAGAUUUUUAUUUUAUAUGUGAAAUAAAUGUGUGAUUGCUGUUCUUAAAAUUUU
Molecule: long non-coding RNA, 748 nt
Organism: Nomascus leucogenys (northern white-cheeked gibbon)
Lineage: Eukaryota; Metazoa; Chordata; Mammalia; Primates; Hylobatidae
Exons: 2
Source: RefSeq, a predicted model, not a curated record